GGGAGUGUGUGCAAGUUGUCUAUUUCAAGAAUAGAUUGGAUCUAUCCGGCUGCACUUUAUAAUAUUUUUUAGUAUUUUUCGGAUAAAUAAGAAAAGGGUGCACAGACUCCUACCGGAGGCAACAGUGGGGAAUUUUCCGCAAUGGGCGAAAGCCUGACGGAGCAAUGCCGCAUGGAGGUGGAAGGCCUACGGGUCGUCAACUUCUUUUCUUGAAGAAGAAACAAUGACGGUAUCUGAGGAAUAAGCAUCGGCUAACUCUGUGCCAGCAGCCGUGGUAAGACAGAGGAUGCA
RNAcentral lists this non-coding RNA (291 nucleotides) under Triticum aestivum (bread wheat). RNAcentral describes it as "Bacterial small subunit ribosomal RNA". It matches the Rfam family "Bacterial small subunit ribosomal RNA", at positions 315 to 536 of the family's 1533-position model. The record is from Rfam by way of RNAcentral. Lineage: Eukaryota; Viridiplantae; Streptophyta; Magnoliopsida; Poales; Poaceae.